UACGGAGGAUGCGAGCGUUAUCCGGAUUUAUUGGGUUUAAAGGGUGCGUAGGCGGAUCGUUAAGUCAGUGGUCAAAUUGAGGGGCUCAACCCCUUCCCGCCAUUGAAACUGGCGAUCUUGAGUGGAAGAGAAGUAUGCGGAAUGCGUGGUGUAGCGGUGAAACGCAUAGAUAUCACGCAGAACCCCGAUUGCGAAGGCAGCAUGCCGGCUUCCUACUGACGCUGAAGCACGAAAGCGUGGGGAGCAAACAGG
This 252-nucleotide ribosomal RNA is filed under the name uncultured bacterium. RNAcentral's name for it is "partial 16S ribosomal RNA". It matches the Rfam family "Bacterial small subunit ribosomal RNA", at positions 524 to 776 of the family's 1533-position model. The record is from RNAcentral.